This 148-nucleotide ribosomal RNA is filed under the name Philornis blanchardi. Its description in RNAcentral is "partial 16S ribosomal RNA". The record is from RNAcentral. RNAcentral also lists the same sequence under 2 other names. Lineage: Eukaryota; Metazoa; Arthropoda; Insecta; Diptera; Muscidae.
AUUAAAUUUUAUUUAUUAAUAAUUAUUGUUUAUUAAAUUAAAUAUUAAAAAUAAUUAUAUAUUUAUAUGUUUUAGUAUUAUAUAAAGAAAAAAUAAUAUUAAUAAUAGUUUAAUAGUAUUGUAUAAGAAAAUUGAAAUAUAUUGAAAA